Molecule: ribosomal RNA, 482 nt
Filed under: uncultured bacterium
Lineage: Bacteria
Description: partial 16S ribosomal RNA
Rfam family: Bacterial small subunit ribosomal RNA
Source: RNAcentral
GACGAACGCUGGCGGCGUGCUUAACACAUGCAAGUCGAACGAUGAAACCUAGCUUGCUAGGUCGAUUAGUGGCGAACGGGUGAGUAACACGUGACUAACCUGCCCCUUUCUCUGGGAUAACGCUCCGAAAGGAGUGCUAAUACCGGAUACUCACACCUAGGCACAUGACUUGGUGUGGAAAGUUUUUCGGAAAGGGAUGGAGUCGCGGCCUAUCAGCUUGUUGGUGAGGUAACGGCUGACCAAGGCGACGACGGGUAGCCGGCCUGAGAGGGCGACCGGCCACACUGGGACUGAGACACGGCCCAGACUCCUACGGGAGGCAGCAGUGGGGAAUAUUGCACAAUGGGCGCAAGCCUGAUGCAGCGACGCCGCGUGAGGGAUGAAGGUCUUCGGAUUGUAAACCUCUUUCAGUAGGGACGAAGCGAAAGUGACGGUACCUAAAGAAGAAGCACCGGCUAACUACGUGCCAGCCGCCGCAGUAA